This 524-nucleotide ribosomal RNA is filed under the name uncultured bacterium. Its description in RNAcentral is "partial 16S ribosomal RNA". It matches the Rfam family "Bacterial small subunit ribosomal RNA", at positions 28 to 523 of the family's 1533-position model. The record is from RNAcentral.
GACGAACGCUGGCGGCGUGCCUAAUACAUGCAAGUCGAGCGCAGGAAGCCAUCUGAACCCUUCGGGGGGACGACGGUGGAAUGAGCGGCGGACGGGUGAGUAACACGUAAAGAACCUGCCCAUAGGUCUGGGAUAACCACGAGAAAUCGGGGCUAAUACCGGAUGUGUCAUCGGACCGCAUGGUCCGCUGAUGAAAGGCGCUCCGGCGUCUCCCAUGGAUGGCUUUGCGGUGCAUUAGCUAGUUGGUGGGGUAACGGCCCACCAAGGCGACGAUGCAUAGCCGACCUGAGAGGGUGAUCGGCCACACUGGGACUGAGACACGGCCCAGACUCCUACGGGAGGCAGCAGUAGGGAAUCUUCCACAAUGGACGAAAGUCUGAUGGAGCAACGCCGCGUGAACGAUGAAGGCUUUCGGGUCGUAAAGUUCUGUUGUAAGGGAAGAACAAGUGCCGCAGGCAAUGGCGGCACCUUGACGGUACCUUGCGAGAAAGCCACGGCUAACUACGUGCCAGCCGCCGCGGUAA